Molecule: microRNA precursor, 95 nt
Filed under: Canis lupus familiaris (dog)
Lineage: Eukaryota; Metazoa; Chordata; Mammalia; Carnivora; Canidae
Also listed under: 1 other name
Description: mir-8799 microRNA precursor family
Rfam family: mir-8799 microRNA precursor family
Source: Rfam by way of RNAcentral
AAGGGGAGCACUGGAUCCUGGGCUGUGUCCACCGGCAUCUUGAGCUCCGGGGCCUAUGCUGCUGGAAUUGCACUCUCGGGGCGGCGCAGCCCCCU